UACGGAAGGCAGCAGUGGGGAAUAUUGCACAAUGGGCGCAAGCCUGAUGCAGCCAUGCCGCGUGUAUGAAGAAGGCCUUCGGGUUGUAAAGUACUUUCAGUCGUGAGGAAGGUGUUAAGGUUAAUAACCUUAGCAAUUGACGUUAGCGACAGAAGAAGCACCGGCUAACUCCGUGCCAGCAGCCGAGGUAAUACGGAGGGUGCGAGCGUUAAUCGGAAUUACUGGGCGUAAAGGGCACGCAGGCGGUUAAUUAAGUUGGAUGUGAAAUCCCCGGGCUUAACCUGGGAAUGGCAUUCAAGACUGGUUAGCUAGAGUCUUGUAGAGGGGGUAGAAUUCCAUGUGUAGCGGUGAAAUGCGUAGAGAUGUGGAGGAAUACCGGUGGCGAAGGCGGCCCCUGGACAAAGACUGACGCUCAUGUGCGAAAGCGUGGGGAGCAAAC
This 439-nucleotide ribosomal RNA is filed under the name uncultured bacterium. RNAcentral describes it as "bacterial SSU rRNA". It matches the Rfam family "Bacterial small subunit ribosomal RNA", at positions 340 to 773 of the family's 1533-position model. The record is from RNAcentral.